AGUUUUUUUCAGACAGAUGCUGACUCGUUCAGAUUCGUUUUUGCGAAGAUUCCAACAUCAACUUCCGGCCAAAACUGUAAAGUUCAGAGUUAGUCGCGGUGAAGACGUUGAACUGUCGGCUACACAAUUUCCAGCUGUUCCUUCUAUCAGCGCAGGGACAUUAAACCUGGUAUUAUUUUAACCAUUAUGACUAUUAAACCAAAACAACUGCCAGGCAAUUUGCCUCUUCUCCACUUGACAUUCGUCUACUUUUGUUUGAAGCUUAUAUCAUUUUUUAAACCCUGUGUUGCUGAAAUUGACGUCUACAGCCAGACCUGUCUUCAUUAUGACAUUUGUCUCACGUGGAAUUGGAUGUCAGCUCCAACUUGAAAGACCCUGAAAUUUUAGGGCUGUAUCAUAAUUACAAAAUGGCAAUUAAGACCAAUGCUUCCCCAGAUGAAAUGCUUCCCCAGAUGAAAUGCUUCUCCAGAUGAAAUAUUUUACCAGAUGAAAUGCUUCCCCAGAUGAAAUGCUUCCCCAGAUGAAAUAUUUUACCAGAUGAAAUGCUUCCCCAGAUGAAAUGCUUGUAAAAUGGAGAGAAUCUCAAGGUUCCAAAAUUCAGCCACUUGCACACAUUAA
Molecule: long non-coding RNA, 618 nt
Organism: Octopus bimaculoides (California two-spot octopus)
Lineage: Eukaryota; Metazoa; Mollusca; Cephalopoda; Octopoda; Octopodidae
Source: RefSeq, a predicted model, not a curated record